Bos taurus (domestic cattle) is the source of this 1537-nucleotide long non-coding RNA. The record is from Ensembl. Lineage: Eukaryota; Metazoa; Chordata; Mammalia; Artiodactyla; Bovidae.
GGUGAGGCUGCAUUCUCGCGAUACCUGCCUCCCUGGGGUUUUCCAAAGUAGAGUGGCGGCCAUGAUGCUGGGCGGGGAUGGUUGCAAGGAGCCUGCUGCUCCCGACUAGCUGGCCUUGAGGGAGGGAUUUGGGGGGACGUUCCUAGCAGCUGCCGAAACCAUUUGUUUCAAGGAUCCUCCCUGUUUCUCCCCGGCUGGGCACUGGCUGCCAACUUAACGCUUUUCCUUGGUGGAACGGAAACCGGCAUCUGGAAGAACUGACGAGCUCCAGGACUAAAUCCACGGCUCAGUUGUGUUGAUUCUUUGCGACCCCAUGGACUGCAGCACACCAGGCUUCUGUGUCUCACCAACUCCCAGAGCUUGCUCAAACUCAUGUCCAUAGAGUCGGUGAUGUCAUCCAACCAUCUCAUCCUCUAUUCCUUUACUUACUAUUGACAUAAUCAUAACUGUGUGAUGAUUCAAGUCUCAUGUGAGUGGCGCAGCCACCACUGGACCCACGUUUUGACUGUGAAAAAGAAAAUCUCUUUAACACUCUACUACUUAACUUGUUAAUCCAACAACUUACUGGCCUCCUGCCUACUUCCCUGGUCAUGGGAAGGACUUGAAAAGAAUAUGGACAUUUGGAACAAGUCUUUGAAAGAGGUAUUCAUUAUCUGUUUUCUCAAGAGAGCCUGGAAACAACUUUAUAUUCAUUCCAAAAAGAGGCAUCUUCUGAGAAGUCACACCAAAGGUAAUUUGCAUCCUUAUCUAAUGAGGGCAUCACAGGCAGCUUCAACGAUUUGCUGGAGACUUGAAGAUCCUGUUUCUGGGACAUCGGUCCACUCUAAGCUGUUUCAGUUCAAGAUUUACUCAUUGACUCAGAGGUUCACUCAUUUACUCAGAAUUCAUUCCUAUGAACAUAGAUUAAAUGAUGAGGACAUAAUAUAAAUUUAGGAAUUGCUGGGUGGUUCUCCAGAGGUAAAACACUGAUAGGUACUUUAAAGUCCCUUGUGACAGACAAGUCUUUGGUUUUUCUUCACUUGUGUGAGCUCAAAACUGGAAUCUUCCAAACUGAGCUUGACCACUUAAGGUCAAGGACCUCCCUCAGAUGUGUGGCUCUUUUGGAAAACCGGAUGCAUUCUUAGAUCAUCUCCAGCAGGCCUCCUGCGAACUGGCGUCCAAUUUCCAGCACCUGUCUUUCUCCUUGACUGAUUCAAACAGGUUGAAGCUCCUUGAACAAGGCUUUCUCUCCAACAUUUAACCUCCUGACCAGGAUCAAGACACUUUCAGGAGGGACCCACAAACUGCAAUGGGCCCAUCAGGUUUCUCUGAGAUGUUCAGUUAUAGCCUGAGAGGGGCAUAAGAGAUGGAGACCCCAUGAGGCACAGGGAGGUCAAGGGAGGGACAGGGAACACUGCAGGGAAAGGUGCAGGUGAGCUGGGGUUGGGAGAGAAAUAACCCGGUCCAGAGACCAGGAGGGCCUGCUGACCUCACCCCCAUAGCGUUCUCUCCUCUUCACUGUCCACAGACAGGGUUCUCCCUCCACCAUUGCUCUUUC